This 471-nucleotide ribosomal RNA is filed under the name uncultured bacterium. Its description in RNAcentral is "partial 16S ribosomal RNA". It matches the Rfam family "Bacterial small subunit ribosomal RNA", at positions 28 to 506 of the family's 1533-position model. The record is from RNAcentral.
GACGAACGCUGGCGGCGUGCUUAACACAUGCAAGUCGAACGAUGAACCCGGAGCUUGCUCUGGGGGAUUAGUGGCGAACGGGUGAGUAACACGUGAGUAACCUGCCCUGGACUCUGGGAUAAGCGUUGGAAACGACGUCUAAUACCGGAUAGGACCUUGGAUCGCAUGAUCUGGGGUGGAAAGUUUUUUCGGUCUGGGAUGGACUCGCGGCCUAUCAGCUUGUUGGUGAGGUAAUGGCUCACCAAGGCGUCGACGGGUAGCCGGCCUGAGAGGGUGACCGGCCACACUGGGACUGAGACACGGCCUAGACUCCUACGGGAGGCAGCAGUGGGGAAUAUUGCACAAUGGGCGAAAGCCUGAUGCAGCAACGCCGCGUGCGGGAUGACGGCCUUCGGGUUGUAAACCGCUUUUAGUAGGGAAGAAGGGCUUCGGCUUGACGGUACCUGCAGAAAAAGGACCGGCUAACUACGU